Molecule: long non-coding RNA, 1660 nt
Organism: Macrobrachium nipponense
Lineage: Eukaryota; Metazoa; Arthropoda; Malacostraca; Decapoda; Palaemonidae
Exons: 3
Source: RefSeq, a predicted model, not a curated record
UUCAGUUACUGUCAUAUUUCUGAGAUUCACUUUCAAUCGCACAGUUUCAUAGUCAACUAGAUUCACUUUUACAUAAUGUCAUAAUCACCAUAUUCAUUUUCACAAACUGUUAUAUUCAUUAGAUUCACUUUCACAUAUUGUCAUAUUCACCAGAUUCAUUUUCUCAUACUGUCAUAAGUUAUCAAAUUAAUUUUUACAUACUGUCAUAUUCACCAGGUUCACUUUUACAUUCUGUCAUAAGUCAUUAGGUUAACUUUCACAUACUGUCAUAUUUACCAGAUUUUCUUUCACAUAAUGUCAAAAUCAGAUUUGCUUUCACAUACUGUCAUACUCAUAUUCACCACAUUGGCUUUCACAUAUUGUCAUAUUUACCAGAUUUGCUUUCACAUAGUAUUUUUUUAUUCAUAUGAUUCACUUUCUCAUACUGUUGUAAGUCAUCAAAUUCACUUUUCAUAUACUGUCAUAUUCACCAGAUUCAAUAUAGUACAUACUCACAUAUUCACCAGGUUUGCUUUCACAUAUUGUCAUAUUCACCGGAUUCACUUUCACAUACUAGUCAUAUUCACCAGAUUUGUUUGUUUCUGUGUUUGUAUGUUUUUAUGUUGCAUGGAACCAGUGGUUAUUCAGCAACGGGACCAACGGCUUUAUGUGACUUCUGAACCAUGUCGAGAGUGAACUUCUAUCACCAGAAAUAUACAUCUCCAACACCUCAAUGGGAUGCCCGAGAAUUGAACUCGUGGCCACCGAGGUGGCAGGCCCAGACCAAACCGAUCACGCCACUAAGGCUAUUCACCAGAUUUGCUUUCAUAUUGUGUCAUAUUCACCAGAUUCACUCUCACAGAUAGUGUUAGAUUCGCCAGAUUUGGUUUCACAUAUUUUUGUAUUCACCAGAUUUGCUUUCACUUACUUUCAUAUUCACCAGAUGUGCUUUCCUAUAGUGUCAUAUAUUCACUGGAUUUUCUUUCACAUGUUGCAUAGCCAUAUUCAUCAGAUUCAGUGUCAUUUGUGUCAUAUUCACUGCAUUCUUGUAUUUCAUUGUCUUACAGAAAGUCCUGAACGUUCUCUGCAGCGUGUUGGAAGAAUGGGAGACAGCAAAGGUGUUGUGUCAUUAUGGCAAGCAAGUUAUAGAUGCUAGUUUUGCCUCUUCCACUCUUGGAAUGCUAAAGGAUAAAGGAAGUACAAAGGAAAAAGUACCAAAAUCCAAAGUAAAGUUAUUGAAAGAAACACCAGAGAAAAGAAACACUGAUAAAAAGGUGACUCUGAAACUGCAGGAGCUGAAGAAGGAACCUAAGGAACAGACUCCUUAUACUAACCAGCUUCAGAGAAGUUGGUCAUUGACGUCUGCAGGUAAGAGUGAUUUUACAGAGGAAACUUCUUUUUCUUCUCAAAAACAAUUUGAAACCAUAGGCUUCUUGUCACAAAUAGCUUGGAGUUUUUCACUUUGGUUUACCUUGAAGAUUUAGAUGUGUAUAUGUUGCAGAUAGGAGUUUUGCAUGUUCUUUUAUCUUGAAGAUUUAGAGAUUUUCCCUAUACUAUAUAUUUGAUGUAUAUCAGUAAUAGAUGUGUGUCCUAUGUAGUUUUAUCAUGAAGAUUUAAAUAUUUAUUAUACAUGUAUAUAUAUAAUAAUAUUUAUAAAUUUAUUUGAAGACCUUUUCCUACA